AAUGAUUGUCAGCUGUUGUCAGCCGAAUCAUCACACAAAAAAGGUCAUAGAAGAAAAAAAGAGAGAGAGAUUACAACUUACAAGUUUGUCGUUUGUAGACCACGUCGGAUCGUGUGUUAAAUUCGCUUUUAUAAUAAUUAAAACAAAAAAAAAAAAUCAACCUUUAAAAUAUCCAGUAUUUGAUAUUUAAUUUUUGUAAAUUAAUUAUAUUAAAAUAACAUGACACGAGGAAAUCAAAGAGAUUUGGCACGUGCCAAAAAUGCAAAAAAAGAAGGUAAAAAAGCAGCAUCUGAACAAGAAAGCAAUAAAGGUUUAACCUUAGAACAACGAAAACAACGUGAUGCUGAGAGAAUGAGAGAAAAACAACUAAAAAAAGCUGCAGAAGCAGCCAAAAAAGAUUAAUUAAUUUAUAAAUACUUAAUUUACAAAAAAUAAAAAUCAAUUAUCAUUGUUUAAAAAAAAAAUACAUCAUCUUUCAAAAUAUAAGAAUAUUACUUUCAUCAAUUUAUAUAGAUCAACAAAUGCCAUGUUAAUUAAAUAUUUUUUUUGAAUAAUAAUUUAAAAAACUCAUAUAAUGUAAUAGAAAAAUAAAAAUAAAAAACAAAACAUUUUUAUUGUAAAAAGUAAAUAAAGAUACACAACAUCCUCAUAAUAAUUUUUUCUAUAACAUUUGAAAAUAAAAGAAAUGAUGUCAAA
This is a long non-coding RNA of Aphidius gifuensis, 696 nucleotides long. RefSeq lists it as uncharacterized. The record is from RefSeq and is a predicted model, not a curated record. The transcript has 3 exons. Lineage: Eukaryota; Metazoa; Arthropoda; Insecta; Hymenoptera; Braconidae.